GUAGGGAAUAUUGCGCAAUGGACGCAAGUCUGACGCAGCAACGCCGCGUGGGUGAUGAAGCUCCUUGGAGUGUAAAACCCUGUCAGUGGGGAAGAAACGUAUGAGUAGUAACUGACUCGUACCUGACGGUACCCACAGAGGAAGUCCCGGCUAACUCCGUGCCAGCAGCCGCGGUAAUACGGGGGGGACGAGCGUUGUUCGGAUUUACUGGGCGUAAAGGGCGCGUAGGCGGACCUUCAAGUCGGAUGUGAAACCUGUCGGCUUAACUGACAGCCUGCACCCGAUACUGUCGGCCUUGAGUACAGGAGAGGAGAGCGGAAUUCCUGGUGUAGCGGUGAAAUGCGUAGAUAUCAGGAAGAACACCGGUUGCGAAGGCGGCUCUCUGGACUGAUACUGACGCUUAAGCGCGAAGGCUUGGGGAGCAAACAGGAUUAGAAACCCCAGUAGUCC
This 450-nucleotide ribosomal RNA is filed under the name uncultured bacterium. RNAcentral's name for it is "bacterial SSU rRNA". It matches the Rfam family "Bacterial small subunit ribosomal RNA", at positions 354 to 796 of the family's 1533-position model. The record is from RNAcentral.